UACGGAGGAUGCGAGCGUUAUCCGGAUUUAUUGGGUUUAAAGGGUGCGCAGGCGGAUUUUUAAGUCAGCGGUCAAAUCGUGGGGCUCAACCCCAUCCAGCCGUUGAAACUGGGGAUCUAGAGUGUGCGAGAGGUAUGCGGAAUGCGUGGUGUAGCGGUGAAAUGCGUAGAUAUUAGGAGGAACACCAGGGGCGAAGGCGGCCUGCUGGGCUUUUACUGACGCUGAGGCUCGAAAGUGUGGGGAGCAAACAGG
This 252-nucleotide ribosomal RNA is filed under the name uncultured Bacteroidales bacterium. RNAcentral describes it as "partial 16S ribosomal RNA". It matches the Rfam family "Bacterial small subunit ribosomal RNA", at positions 524 to 776 of the family's 1533-position model. The record is from RNAcentral. Lineage: Bacteria; Pseudomonadati; Bacteroidota; Bacteroidia; Bacteroidales.